RNAcentral lists this ribosomal RNA (795 nucleotides) under methanogenic archaeon CIRG-GM02. RNAcentral's name for it is "partial 16S ribosomal RNA". The stretch from base 1 to 578 matches the Rfam family "Archaeal small subunit ribosomal RNA". Lineage: Archaea; Methanobacteriati; Methanobacteriota; Methanomicrobia; Methanomicrobiales. The record is from RNAcentral.
CGAGCCUUAGUGGGGGAUAUCUCGGGAAUUGAGGAUAAUACCCCAUAGAUCAUGGCAUCUGGAAUGAGUCAUGGUUGAAAGUUCCGGCGCUUAAGGAUCGCUCUGCGGCCUAUCAGGUAGUAGUGGGUGUAAGGUACCCCCUAGCCUACGACGGGUAUGGGCCUUGAGAGAGGGAGCCCAGAGUUGGAUUCUGAGACACGAAUCCAGGCCCUACGGGGCGCAGCAGUCGCGAAAACUUCACACUGGGGGGAACCCCGAUGAGGGAAAUCCUAGUGCUAGGACAUUUGUUCUAGCUUUUCUCAAGCGUAGAUAACUUGAGGAAUAAGGGCUGGGUAAGACGGGUGCCAGCCGCCGCGGUAAUACCUGCGGCCCAAGUGGUGGUCGAUUUUAUGGAGGCUAAAACGUGCGUAACAGCUAUGAUAAAUCUUUGCUUAAAUCGGGGAGGGUACCUCUCCCACACCCAAAAAACUGACACCCGGGGGACCGGGCCCACGCUAGAGGGAAUUUAAGAGUUUUUCCCCGGAUCUGGAAGGCCCCAAAAGGGCCCCCCAAAAAAAAUUGGGGGGGUUUAACCCCGGGAAAAAGGGGGGGUAUAAAAUCCCGGUGUUUAAAGAUAGAAGCCCUUUCGCACGGGGGGGCUUUCUGGAUAUAAGGGUUUUCCCCCCCACCCCCAGAAAUCCCCGUGCCUCUCCCGGGGCCAGAUUGGAGAGUCUCUAGAAGAGGGAGAGUGAGACUCCCCAUAUCCAGAGUUACACACGGGUCAACAGCGUUAUCACAAUAAGCCCACCUCUGUGU